RNAcentral lists this ribosomal RNA (253 nucleotides) under uncultured bacterium. RNAcentral's name for it is "partial 16S ribosomal RNA". It matches the Rfam family "Bacterial small subunit ribosomal RNA", at positions 524 to 776 of the family's 1533-position model. The record is from RNAcentral.
UGCGUAGGGGGCAAGCGUUGUCCGGAAUCAUUGGGCGUAAAGAGCGUGUAGGCGGCCAGAAAAGUCCGCUGUGAAAACUCGAGGCUCAACUUCGAGCUGUCGGUGGAAACUUUCUGGCUAGAGUCCGGAAGAGGAGAAUGGAAUUCCUGGUGUAGCGGUGAAAUGCGCAGAUAUCAGGAAGAACACCCGUGGCGAAGGCGGUUCUCUGGGACGGUACUGACGCUGAGACGCGAAAGCGUGGGGAGCAAACAGG